CAAUCCGCGCCCUUCCCCCCCCACCUCUGCCUAGCCUAAGCCACGCCUUCUUCUCUUGGCUUAUGUGAGUUCAGCCGCUUUUCACAACUUUGAGGAACAAACGUUUGUACAGGAUUCUGCUGAUAGACGAAGAAGAGGAGGAGAAUAAUAAAAGAGAGAUGAAGAAUCGUCUGCUUCAUCCCCCUUCAGUGGGAUCAGUGUGCUUGCGGUGUUGAAUGGAAGGGAUGAUUGUAAAGAUGGAGUCCUGUGUUUACCAGAGGAGGCUGGUGAGGGGAGGACGGCUCAUAAUAAAGACUGGAACCGAGAGAAUGGAAUGCCAUCGAACACAUAUAUCCUCCAGGAGGUUUACACUCCAGCCCUGUUCCUGGAGAGAUAUCCUCCAGGAGGUUUUAACUCCAACCCUGUUCCUGGAGAUAUCCUCCUGUAGGUUUACACUCCAACCCUGUUCCUGGAGAGAUACCCCUCCUGUAGGAUUUAACUCCAACCCUGUUCCUGGAGAGAUAUCCUCCAGGAGGAUUUAACUCCAACCCUGUUCCUGGAGAAACAGAGUAGAGAGCUGGUUGAACUAACUAAACUGGUAGAAACAGUAGAGAGCUGGUUGUAUAGACUGUAAACGGGUCCAAUGUAUUGCAUGCUGGGACAAGCCAUUUAAUAACUGGUGAGGAUGAUGAGGAUGACGAUGUUGUUACAGAUGUACGUAAGCUUCUGUUGUGAUCUUUCUUAUAUUAUGUAUGUUAUACCUGUCAGAUGUCAAUAAACACUUUUCUCCGUCGCUC
This 776-nucleotide long non-coding RNA is filed under the name Salmo salar (Atlantic salmon). Its description in RNAcentral is "lncRNA (ENSSSAG00000083334.1)". The record is from RNAcentral. Lineage: Eukaryota; Metazoa; Chordata; Actinopteri; Salmoniformes; Salmonidae.